Long non-coding RNA from Acinonyx jubatus (cheetah), 9618 nucleotides. RefSeq lists it as uncharacterized. The transcript is spliced from 5 exons. NCBI's taxonomy places the organism in Eukaryota, Metazoa, Chordata, Mammalia, Carnivora, Felidae. The record is from RefSeq and is a predicted model, not a curated record.
GGGGGUUCGGUGGGCAAAAGCAGGCGGGCUCCGAAACCACCAGGACACGGGAAGGGACCUGACGCAAGGGCAGGAGGUACCCAGUGACCUCCUGGGCAGCGCUGAGCUGGGCAGUGCUAUCUCUGAGCUGUUUGUGACCCACGAGGGCCUCAGCUGCCCAGCUCCUGAGCAAAGUUCCCUUAUUCCAGAAUCCCUUCUCACCUGGAGGCGGGAGCGAGGGGCGAGGCCAGGAACCCAUGACGGAUCCCGCGGCCCCCAGGAUGACCCCGUAACCUUCAGAUCUGAUCCCAAGACCCCUCACCGGUAGCGUGUGACCUUAGAAUCCCUCUGUAAUUGACUCUGGCCCUUCACCGAUUCCCCCCACCCCUCCCCCAGCUGACCGUGUGGCCCUCAGCUAUGACCCCGAGAGGCUCUUCCCAACGCCUCCCUGCCACACCCUGAAAGUCCUCUAUAAUCGCUCCAUUGACGCCCGCCCCCACUGAAAAUGUCCCCCUUACGAACCCUGUAACCCCACUGCUGACAUGAUGAUAAAAAAUGCUGACCCAGGAUCCCAAACACUGACUCCACUGCCCAGUAGACAGGGUCAUGUCCCAAUCCUUCUCUGGCCCUAUCAGCAGCCUCCCCCACCCUCCCCACCCCAUCAGCAUCCACUCCUUUGCAACCUGGGUAGCCGUCCCUGUUCACUCUUGGCCCCACGGCGUGGAGUGUCCCAGCAACUUCUGGGACUCCUGGCCCCUCUGUCCUGUCUUCCCUACCUAGGCCCUGGGCUCUCAGUGAGUACCCCCCCCCCGCGCCCCCCCCCCCCCCGUUGAAUGAAUGAAUGAAGGAUGGAUGGAAUGAAUGAAUACAGGUGGUCCCAGGAUACCCCACCUUCAGGCAGACUCCGCUCUUACCCCGGCGCUGGUCCUGCUGCCUGGUGAGAGCCCCGGCUCUGUCCUGCAGGGCCAGGAUGCAGGUUCGGCUGCAGGCCAGGCUCCGUGGCCCUGAUCCGGUCCGGCCUCUGCGCUCUGGGCCGCUGGGAGCUUGCCGCCCCCUCCCGGCAGCGACGUCGGGCCGCGCCUCUUCCCGGGCUCGCUAGGGCCCCGGCGACGGCGGCGUGGAUCCCUCGAGGGAAAGUGAGCUGCUCCUGGCCGGCCCGCCCUCUCCCCGCCCCCGGCGGCCCAGUUUCCUCCCUCUCACCCCCGGGCCGCGCCGGAGGAUGCCGGGCCGGCACAGAUAAGGCCCUGGCCGACUGGCUGCGCCUGAUAAGGAGCCGGGCUGACCCCGGAGGAAACCGGCGGGCGGGGAGCUCCGAGCUGGGGCCUCACGGCCCCGCCCCCGGCCGGCGACGGACAGGGCCGUCACCCCUCAGGGCCUCACCUUACGUCCUCCCAGGCACUGGAGUGGCCCAGGGUCUCUGAGGACCCCGACCCAGCGCGCCGCUGGGAGUGAGACCGCCUGCCGGGCUUCGCGCCACCCCCACCCCAGACUGGGACACUGGAGGGAAGGUAGUUCUGACAGUCUGCCCUCGCGUGUCCUGCCCGGCCCCAAGAGUCCUGGGCCCCCAGGCCUGCUCUCCACACCACCUUUUCAGGCCCAGGAGGGCCCCCCUCACCCGCGUCCAUCACACUUUGCCUCCAGUGUAUCUGGGGGCCUGCAGGAGCAGCCCAGCACGGAUACUACCACCACCCUCCCAGGAGUCUGGUGAAGCCCCGAGCCAGCCGGCCUCCAACCAUCCCACUGCCCCAGGGAAGCGCGAGGUCAGCUCUGAGCCCCCAAGUUAACAGAUCACCCCAACAAACUAGGUUCUGGGAUUAGGUUCCUUUUAGAGGCGGGGAGGAGGCCAAGGGAAAGGUGUUUGCGGGGGGGCCCCACGGCUACCACGUGGGGGUGGGGAUUCUGCCCUAAGCCUCUCCGUUAACGUUGCUAACCCUCCGUCCCGGAGGGGAGGGGAAGCGGCAGGCCGGCUAGUGCCUCAGUGUGCUCUGUGCUCGACUGAGGGGCCGCGGAGCAGGAAGCACCUGGCCUGGAGCGGAUGCACAAGGCGCCUGGUUCCGGUCCGGCUUCCGCCACCGCGGCCCUGUGGGGAACUCGGCCAGAGAAACCGGGCGGCGACGCGAGGCAGGGUAGGGGCUGGGUGACUGGAGGGCCCGCCUGUGUCUGGGUGCACGCCAACAGGGGGGCGGAGGCCCCACGAACACGAGCGCACGGCUGCCGCCCCGUGGCCGGCCGGGGAACUGCAGGCGCCAGCAAAGGGGCGGCGGGCUGAGAGCCUCGUGCUGCGGGACAGACCACCCCGCUGGCCGAGGGUCAGCUCCCACACCCCCAUACAGACAGAACACUCCAGAUGGCAAUACUGACAGCACUUCGGUCGGGCAGGGACAAAUAAACCUCCAGAUGCGUAGCGCUUCCCCAGGGAGUGAAACAAAAAAAGAUGCACAGAGGAACGCACGCUCCAGACACGCAGCUGGAGAGACGGACAGAGCCCCUAAGGCAGAUGGGACAGACAGACCCGCAGGCAGCCUCCCGACUCAGACGAAUGGCAGUCGGAAAGGUGACAUAUCUUUAUUGGCUCAGUCUACACCCGGACCAGCGGCAACGCCAGACCCAGGCGGGUUCUGGUAAGAGGUCUUGGGAUGGUCAGGGGAGGCGGCUGCAGCGGUGUCCUCGGGUGCUGGGGGGCUGUGGGAGUAGCAGCACUGGUCCCCGCGUUGACAGGUGCCCUGGGGGGAGAACGGUGGGUGUGAACCCUGGCUCAGUGCUCAGCAGCCUCUGCUGGGUCCCCUUCCUAGACGGGGAGCUUGCUCGCACGCCCUGCCCGCCCCGGUUCUCCCAGCCCUGCUGCAGGGAGGGCGAUCCCUGGGUGCUGCUAUGUGGGGUGGGGGGGGGUGCCUCACCUCCUUGAAUCUUUUACAGGGAAAGGUCUUGAGCCGGGCAGCCCGCUGGACCGGGUCCUCAGCUGGCUCCUUUCUCUUAUUCUGGUGCACCCUGCGUCUCUCCUCCAUAGCUUCACCUGCGGCCUUGCCCCUGUGCAGGCAGAGGAGUAGCUGGCACCCCAUCCUGCCCCGGACAAGCCCCACCGCCACCCGCGCUCUCACUCACCCUGGCCGGGCACGGGGCCGGGGGCCCCAGUUGGCCUCAGGAUUAGCCUGGAAGCGCUUGAGUCCUCGCUGGCGGGAGCUGGGGUUGGCGUCAUCCCGGACGGCGAAGUUGGCCUGCAGCCUGGGGACGUGGGAGUGGGGGCUGAGGGGCAGGUGCCCUGCAGGUGUGCACGGACCACCUGCCAACCCCCGUGCCGCUCCAGGUGCCUUGGGAAGGCCGUGUCCGCCCGGGUCGGGAUUCUCAUCCAGUUAAUGAACAUGCAUCCAGUGCCCACCACGAGCCUAAGACCUGCCAUUGGUAAGGCCGACGUUCCAGUGUGGGAGACGAUGGGACAGAUCAGAGGUGAGUGAGGUGUAGCGUGUUAGGGCACGGAUGAGAGUUUUGAGAAAAACAGAGCAGGACAAAGGGAAUGGGGAGGCGGGGGAAGGGGCGCAGGUCAGGACAGAGCGGUCAGAGACACCCGAAGGAGGGAGGGAAGAGCCUUCAGGGGACCCGGGAUGGGCACUCCAGGCACAGAGAACAGCCCUUAUAAAGGCCAUAAGGGGGCGCUGCGUCUGGGCAGUGUGAGUGCGGAGGCCCAGUAUGGAGGGAGGUAGGGAGAGUGGGGAUGAAGGGGGAGGGAGGGGACAGGGAGAUGGUUAACAGCUUGCAGGCAGAACUUGGGUUUCUAGUGAGUGAGGUGGGAGUCACAGAGGGUUCUAAACAGAGGGUGGACAGGUCUGACUCCGGUCCUCACUGAUGUACUGUGGCUGCUGUGGGGAGAGGCUGGGGCCGGAGGCGGGGGCGGGGGGGGGGGGGGGGGGGACCAGGGCGGAGCCAGCAGCACUGGUCCAGCUGGGCAGUGAUGGGGCCAGACCAGGGCAGGGGCAGAAGGGGAGGGGAAGCGGGAAGAUUCUGGAUCUCACGUGAAUGAGCAUGUGUCUGUGGAGGGAAGGAUCUGCGUUGUCCCCUGCCCACACGUGAGCUCCCCACGCCCGCGGGCAGCCACACCAGUGCCCGUACCUGGGCUCCACACUGAGAAUACGGAACGCAGGGCUGGCCUCUGACAGCCUUUCCCGCUUCACCGGACACUCCUUUUCCUGGGAGGUAAAGUUCAAAGGUCAGGGGACACUGGGCCUGACCAUGUCCCGGCCUCGCACCCCUAUCUGGUCAGGCCAGCCCUCACCCAGCAGCGCAUGAUGUCCCAGAGGGCUGAGGAGGGGGCAUCCGUCUUCACGGCAUUCUUACAGGCGUGGGAGAGUGAGACCCGGAAGCCGGCAUGGAGGAGGGCUGACCUGGGGACCAAGAGGGGCCGUGGGUGGGGGGCGGGGGGCCGGACCCCAAAGCCAGUGCUGAUCCGUGCGGGUGUGACGCAGCUGAAUGUCUCACGGUGACUACGCGGCCCGGGUAAUGCCAGUGAUCGUGAUGGGGAGACUAUCUCCCUCCCCAAGGCUCAAGGCCUCCACGCUCUCUUCUAAGCACCUGCACGUAGGCCUGUUGGAAAGCUGUUUUACCCAAGACUCUGGCCUUGAGGGGGGCCGGCCUUGCCCCAGGGCACCCGGAGGGUGGGCGAAGGGCGCAGACUCCUUCCGGCCCGGGACUGGGCACUCACCGCAGCUGCAGGAGGCUGGGCGUGCUGCAGCGGAUAGUGCUGCUCAGCUGGUCCAGCGUGUAGUAGAGAGGCACGUCCGGGAGCUCCUGCCGGUGGGGACAGGACGGGCGCGGGGUGGGUGGGGGAAAGGAUGGCUGGGCACAGGCAGGGCCCCCUCCCCGUCACCCCGGGCCCCCACCUCAGUGAUGACGCUCAGGACCCCCUGGAUUCGCUCUGAGGUGUGGAAGCGGCCAGGAUUGGUGCUCACAGCCUGCAGCACGCGCCCCACGAAGUCCAGGUCGUGGAUGGGCUCCGCCCACAGGGGACCGCCAAGCUACAGACACGUGGCGGGGGGGGGGGGGCGAAGGGCCAGGUGUCAAGAGAGCCGGAACCCCAGCGUCCCCCUGGUUUCCCCGGCCCUGCCUCACCUGGUGUCGCUGCCCACAGUGCUCACACUCAGGGCUGAUCGGGGGACCACAGGCCGCAGAGAACUUGACCCUGCGGAGAGAGGGGUGGUUAGGGGGCGGCGACCCUAGGACGCCUCCUUCACCUUCCUCCCCCGGCUCACCCGUGCUCACCGGCCGCCAGAGGCUCCGGACGUUUUGCCAAGGCGCUGGAGGUGAAAGGUCCCGCAGCCCACACACUGGAACACCAGUGCCUGCUUGCUGGAAUGGGGGGGGGGGGGGGCAGGGCUCAUAAGCUCCCCAGCCUGACCGCCGUACCCCAGCUCCUCCCCGUUAGGAGUCCCGUUUCCUCCCGUGCCCCAAAAGGCCCUGUUGCCCCCCUCUGUUCGUUGCCUCCCUUGCUUGCCCCAGACUAACCUGGCUGAGGCCUUGACUUUGGCCUGGCCGGUGAAGACGCGGACAAAAACUCUCACGUAGAAGUCAGCGCUGACGCUGAGCAGUGGCACCACAAAGCGCUGGUAGCAGUUGGCUCGGAGGUCCAGGCUGUGCAGGACGAUCCUCAGGGCCUGAGGGUGGGAGGCGGGCAUCAGCCAGCAGCCCUGCCUCCACGGAGCCUCCCAGCUACCCUGAGGCCACACCAGGUGCUCAUAAGCACAGGCUCAGGGGCGGCUCCCCGGUGUUGCAAGCCCAGGCCCAAGCGUCCUAGCUGUGUGACCCCUGCCGAGUGAAUGCCUCAGUUCCCCCAUCGACGGGAUCACAACAGUCUAUGUCUCUUUAUGGGCCUCCUGGGGGUGCUACGUGGUUACGGAGCGCACAGGCCCGCCAUCCAGGGCAGCAACAUCCGUGUGCCCUGCGCUAUGCGAUGUGCUCCAAGGACCUGUGCUCCGGUUUUCCAGACUGACCUGGUGACAGGGCCCUUACGGAACAAAGCCAGGCCAUCCUCCUUUCCGGCUCCCGCCCUCUCGAAUCCCCACGGCAAUUCACCAUCGUGCGCAUUUCACAGAGGCCAAAAGCGAGGCCCAGAAGGGUGAAAUGAAUCACCCAAAGGCGCCAGCAAAGCUAGGAUUUGAACCCAAAGCCAAACCCACUCCUGAAAACUGUCCUAAAUAACAAUUUUGAACGAGUUGUUAAAACCGAGGGCACUAGGAAAAAUAAUGCGGCCACUGGCUCCCACCCUGGGCGAAACCGCUGCCGUCCGAGUGACCAGAACUGGAAGUCCGGGCUCUAGAACUAUUCUGGCUAUAGACCUGCUUGUCUUUAACAUCUUGGGACGGAUCUGGCCCCGGCUGCCUGGAGGAAGCGAAGCAGCACUGCCAUGUCGGUGCAGGUGACGCACAGCAGACCUGCAAGGAAGGCCUGAGCAGUGAGGAUCCUCCAGAAACCCCGAGCCCUGCUCUGUGCCCAGUGUACUCGUGUCUAACAACAGCAAUAAUAAUAGCCAAUGGUGAUGGGACAUACAUAUGCCUGACAACUGUUUCAAGCCGUUUAUAGAUUAACUCAUUUAAUCAAAUAACCUUCCAGGCAAAUCUUAUGGAAUCAUUAUCGUUUCCUUUGUAGGUGAGGAAAUGCAAAUGCUGUCUUCUCCAAGUUGCCAACCCUAACUGUUAUUUAAAAUUGCAACCUGGGGCGCCUGGGUGGCUCAGUGGGUUGAACAUCCGACUCUUGAUUUUGGCUCAGGUCACGAUCUCACAGUCCAUGAGUUCGAGCCCCGAAUCGGCUCUGCUUGGGAUUCUCUCUCUCCCUGUCUCUCUCUGCCCCUCCCCCGCUCAUGCUCUGUCUCAGUCUCUCUCUCAAAAAUAAACAUUGAAAAACACUUUUAAUAAAAAAUAAAAUAAAAUGAAAUGAAAUAAAAUAAAAUAUAUAAAAUUACAACCCAUCCACCACCUUCCUCCAUCCCCUCCAACCUCCAGUUUUUUCCCAGAGCACUUUUCACCUUUUACUUUUCUUUUUUUUUUCUUUUACUUUUCUUUUUACUUUUUCACCACUUUUACUAUAUAGUUUGCUCAUUGAUCUGGCUGUCACUGUCUUUGUUUCCUAUCAGAUUCUAAUACAGUCCAGAAAACAAAUACUUUUUCUUUAUUUGUGCUCUGUAAAAAGUCAGAUAGUAAAUAUUUUAGGCUCUGUGGGCCACAAACGGUGCCUUUUUUUUUUUUUUCAACCCUUUAAAAAUGCAAAAAACAUGGGAUGCCUGCCUCAGCCGGUUGAGGGUCCAACUCUUGAUUUCGGCUCAGGUCAUGAUCCCAAGGUCGUGGGAUGGAACCCCCACACUGGGCUCUGCGCUGAGCAGGCAGCCUGUUUGGGAUUCUCUCUCUCCCUCUGCCCCUCUCCCCACUCUCCAGCAAGUGCGAGCACUCUCUCAAGAAAAGAAAAGAAAAUGCAAAAAACAUUCUUAGCCGGUGGGCCAAGAAAAACCGACAACCCAGGCUCUGGCCUCCCAGGGGGCCUCCCAGGCUGCUGUUUGCUGGACCCCAGCAUUAGAAUGUGAAUGCCCCAAGGUCAGGGGUUUUGCCUAUUUUGUUUACUGAUGCCUGGCACAUUGCGGAUACUGGCUUUGUGCUGGCUCAUUUGAAUGAAUAAAAGUACCAGAAGUUGAGAAGUUAAGUCUACAAUGGAAACCGUAGCAAAACAAUCACUGUGAUUUAUCACAUCAAUUAAAGAAAGGACAAGAACCACGUGAUCCUCUCAAUAGAUGCAGAGAAAGCAUUUGACAAAAUCCAGCAUCCUUUCUUGAUAAAAACCCUCAAGAAAGUAGGGACAGAAGGAUCAUACGCCGGGAUCAUAAAAGCCAUAUAUGAAAGACCCGCGGCUAACAUCAUCCUCAGUGGGGAAAAACAGAGCUUUCCCCCUAAGGUCAGGACCACGACAGGGAUGUCCACUCUCGCCACUGCUAUUUAACGUAGUAUUGGAGGUCUUAGCCUCAGCAAUCAGACAACACAAAGGAAUAAAAUGCAUCCAAAUCGGCAAGGAGAAGCCAAACUUUCAUACUUUGCAGGAUGACAUGAUACUCUAUAUGGAACACGCAAAAGAUUCCACAAAAAAACUGCUGGACUGAUCCACGAAUUCAGCAAAGUCGCAGGAUAUAAAAUCAAUGCACAGAAAUCAGUUGCAUUUCUAUACACCAAUAGUGAAGCAACAGAGAGAGAAAUCAAGGAAUUGAUCCCAUUUACAACUGCACCAAAAACCACAGAGUAUCUAGGAAUGAACCUAACCAAAGAGGUGAAAAAUCUAUAUGCUGAAAGCUAAAGAAAACUUAUGAAAGAAACUGAAGACACAAAAAAAUGGAAAAAGAUUCCAUGCUCCUGGGUUGGAAGAACAACUAUUGUUAAAAUGUCGAUACUCCCCAAAGGAAUCUACAUAUUCAAUGCAACACCUAUCAAAAUAACACCAGCAUUCUUCACAGAGCUAGAACAAAAAAACCCUAAAAUCUGAAUCAGAAAAGACGCUCAAUAGCCAAAGCAAUCCUGAAAAAGAAAACCAAAGCAGGAGGCAUCACAAUCCCGGACUUCAAGCUGUAUUCCAAAGCUGUAAUCAUCAAGACAGUAUGGUAUUAGCUCAAAAACAGACACUCAGAUCAACGGGACAGAACAGAGAACCCAGAAAUGGACCCACAAACAUAUGGCCAACUAAUCUUCGACAAAGCAGCAAAGACUAUCCAAAGGAAUAAGAACAGUCUCUUCAGCGAAUAGUGCUGGGAAAACUGGACAGCAACAGGCAGAAAAAUGAACCUGGACCACUUUCCUACACUAUACACAAAAAGAAACUCAAAAUGGAUGAAACACCUGAACGUAAGUCAGGAAGCCAUCAAAAUCCUCGAGGAGAAAGCAGGCAAAAACCUCUCUGGCCUCGGCCACAGCAACUUCUUACCCAACAGGUCUCCGGAGGCAAGGGAAACAAAAGCAAAAAUGAACUAUUGGGACCUCAUCAAAAUAAAAAGCCUCUGCACAGCGAAGGAUUCAGCAAAACUAAAAGGCACCCAACAGAAUGGGAGAAGACAUGUGCAAACGACGUAUCAGACAAAGCGUCAGUGUCCAAAAUCUAGAAAGAACUUAUCAAACUCAACACCCCAAAAACAAAUAACCCAGUGAAGAAGUGGGCAAAACACAUGAAUAGACACUUUUCCAAAGAAGACAUCCUGGCUAACAGACACAUGAAGAAAUGCUCAACAUCACUCACCAUCAGGGAAAUACAAAUCGAAACCCCAAUGAGAUAGCACCUCACAUCUGUCAGAAUGGCUCACAUUAACAACUCCGGCAACAACAGAUGUUGAUGAGGAUGCAGAGAAAGAGGAUCUCUUUUGCCCUGCUGGAGGGAAUGCAAACUGCUGCAGCCACUCUGGAAAACAGUGUGGAGGUUCCUCAAAAAAUUAAAAAUAGAACUACCCUAUGACCCAGCAAUGGCACUACUAGGUAUUUAUCCAAGGAUACAGGUGUGACGUUUCAAAGGGGCACAUGCACCCCCAUGUUUAUAGCAGUGCUAAGGACAAUAGCCAAAGUAUGGAAAGAGCCCAAAUGUCCGUGGAUGGGUGAAUGGAUAAAGAAGAUGCGGCAUAUACAUGUACAAAUA